This 343-nucleotide unclassified non-coding RNA is filed under the name soil metagenome. RNAcentral's name for it is "partial contains 5.8S ribosomal RNA, internal transcribed spacer 2, and large subunit ribosomal RNA". The stretch from base 1 to 119 matches the Rfam family "5.8S ribosomal RNA", at positions 35 to 154 of the family's 154-position model. The record is from RNAcentral.
GAUGAAGACGUAGCGAAAUGCGAUAAGUAAUGUGAAUUGCAGAAUUCAGUGAAUCAUCGAAUCUUUGAACGCACAUUGCGCCCGCCAGUAUUCUGGCGGGCAUGCCUGUUCGAGCGUCAUUUCAACCCUCAGGGCCCUUUUGGACCUGGCGUUGGGGCUCGGCCGCUACCCUGCGGCCGUCCCCGAAAGAUAGUGGCGGUCUCGCUGUAGCCUCCUCUGCGUAGUAGUUACAUCUCGCACUGGAACGCGGCGCGGCCAUGCCGUUAAACACCCCACUUCUCAAGGUUGACCUCGGAUCAGGUAGGAAUACCCGCUGAACUUAAGCAUAUCAAUAAGCGGAGGA